This 1419-nucleotide ribosomal RNA is filed under the name Lactiplantibacillus plantarum. RNAcentral's name for it is "bacterial SSU rRNA". It matches the Rfam family "Bacterial small subunit ribosomal RNA". Lineage: Bacteria; Bacillati; Bacillota; Bacilli; Lactobacillales; Lactobacillaceae. The record is from RNAcentral.
GUCGACGAACUCUGGUAUUGAUUGGUGCUUGCAUCAUGAUUUACAUUUGAGUGAGUGGCGAACUGGUGAGUAACACGUGGGAAACCUGCCCAGAAGCGGGGGAUAACACCUGGAAACAGAUGCUAAUACCGCAUAACAACUUGGACCGCAUGGUCCGAGUUUGAAAGAUGGCUUCGGCUAUCACUUUUGGAUGGUCCCGCGGCGUAUUAGCUAGAUGGUGGGGUAACGGCUCACCAUGGCAAUGAUACGUAGCCGACCUGAGAGGGUAAUCGGCCACAUUGGGACUGAGACACGGCCCAAACUCCUACGGGAGGCAGCAGUAGGGAAUCUUCCACAAUGGACGAAAGUCUGAUGGAGCAACGCCGCGUGAGUGAAGAAGGGUUUCGGCUCGUAAAACUCUGUUGUUAAAGAAGAACAUAUCUGAGAGUAACUGUUCAGGUAUUGACGGUAUUUAACCAGAAAGCCACGGCUAACUACGUGCCAGCAGCCGCGGUAAUACGUAGGUGGCAAGCGUUGUCCGGAUUUAUUGGGCGUAAAGCGAGCGCAGGCGGUUUUUUAAGUCUGAUGUGAAAGCCUUCGGCUCAACCGAAGAAGUGCAUCGGAAACUGGGAAACUUGAGUGCAGAAGAGGACAGUGGAACUCCAUGUGUAGCGGUGAAAUGCGUAGAUAUAUGGAAGAACACCAGUGGCGAAGGCGGCUGUCUGGUCUGUAACUGACGCUGAGGCUCGAAAGUAUGGGUAGCAAACAGGAUUAGAUACCCUGGUAGUCCAUACCGUAAACGAUGAAUGCUAAGUGUUGGAGGGUUUCCGCCCUUCAGUGCUGCAGCUAACGCAUUAAGCAUUCCGCCUGGGGAGUACGGCCGCAAGGCUGAAACUCAAAGGAAUUGACGGGGGCCCGCACAAGCGGUGGAGCAUGUGGUUUAAUUCGAAGCUACGCGAAGAACCUUACCAGGUCUUGACAUACUAUGCAAAUCUAAGAGAUUAGACGUUCCCUUCGGGGACAUGGAUACAGGUGGUGCAUGGUUGUCGUCAGCUCGUGUCGUGAGAUGUUGGGUUAAGUCCCGCAACGAGCGCAACCCUUAUUAUCAGUUGCCAGCAUUAAGUUGGGCACUCUGGUGAGACUGCCGGUGACAAACCGGAGGAAGGUGGGGAUGACGUCAAAUCAUCAUGCCCCUUAUGACCUGGGCUACACACGUGCUACAAUGGAUGGUACAACGAGUUGCGAACUCGCGAGAGUAAGCUAAUCUCUUAAAGCCAUUCUCAGUUCGGAUUGUAGGCUGCAACUCGCCUACAUGAAGUCGGAAUCGCUAGUAAUCGCGGAUCAGCAUGCCGCGGUGAAUACGUUCCCGGGCCUUGUACACACCGCCCGUCACACCAUGAGAGUUUGUAACACCCAAAGUCGGUGGGGUAACCUUUUAGA